This 505-nucleotide ribosomal RNA is filed under the name uncultured bacterium. RNAcentral's name for it is "partial 16S ribosomal RNA". It matches the Rfam family "Bacterial small subunit ribosomal RNA", at positions 30 to 523 of the family's 1533-position model. The record is from RNAcentral.
AUUGAACGCUGGCGGCAGGCCUAACACAUGCAAGUCGAGCGGUACACAGAGGAGCUUGCUCCUUGGGUGACGAGCGGCGGACGGGUGAGUAAUGCCUGGGGAUCUGCCCGAUAGAGGGGGAUAACUACGGGAAACUGUAGCUAAUACCGCAUAACGUCUACGGACCAAAGUGGGGGCUCUUCGGACCUCAUGCUAUCGGAUGAACCCAGGUGGGAUUAGCUAGUUGGUGAGGUAAUGGCUCACCAAGGCGACGAUCGCUAACUGGUUUGAGAGAAUGACCAGUCAAACUGGAAAUGAGACACGGUCCAGACUCCUACGGGAGGCAGCAGUGGGGAAUAUUGCACAAUGGGCGCAAGCCUGAUGCAGCCAUGCCGCGUGUGUGAAGAAGGCCUUCGGGUUGUAAAGCACUUUCAGCGAGGAGGAAGGGUUACUAGCUAAUACCUAGUGACAUUGACGUUACUCGCAGAAGAAGCACCGGCUAACUCCGUGCCAGCCGCCGCAGUAA